GCUUGUCUCAAAGAUUAAGCCAUGCAUGUCUAAGUAUAAACUGCUUAUACUGUGAAACUGCGAAUGGCUCAUUAAAUCAGUUAUAGUUUAUUUGAUGGUACCUACUACUCGGAUAACCGUAGUAAUUCUAGAGCUAAUACGUGCGUAAAUCCCGACUCCUGGAAGGGACGUAUUUAUUAGACUUAAGCCAAUAUUCCUUGUGUCUAUUGCGAUGAUUCAUAAUAACUGAUCGAAUCUCAAAUUUGAGAUAAAUCAUUCAAGUUUCUGCCCUAUCAGCUUUCGAUGGUAGUGUAUUGGACUACCAUGGCAGUAACGGGUAACGAAGAAUUAGGGUUCGAUUUCGGAGAGGGAGCAUGAGAAACGGCUACCACAUCUAAGGAAGGCAGCAGG
Molecule: ribosomal RNA, 390 nt
Filed under: uncultured Scuticociliatia
Lineage: Eukaryota; Ciliophora; Oligohymenophorea
Description: partial small subunit ribosomal RNA
Rfam family: Eukaryotic small subunit ribosomal RNA
Source: RNAcentral